This 502-nucleotide ribosomal RNA is filed under the name uncultured bacterium. RNAcentral's name for it is "partial 16S ribosomal RNA". It matches the Rfam family "Bacterial small subunit ribosomal RNA", at positions 28 to 507 of the family's 1533-position model. The record is from RNAcentral.
GACGAACGCUGGCGGCGUGCCUAAUACAUGCAAGUCGAACGAACCGCGACUAGGUGCUUGCACUUGGUCAAGGUGAGUGGCGAACGGGUGAGUAACACGUGGGUAACCUACCUCAUAGUGGGGGAUAACAGUCGGAAACGACUGCUAAUACCGCAUAGGACAUAGGAUAACAUGAUUCUGUGAGGAAAGGUAGCGCAAGCUAUCGCUAAGAGAUGGACCCGCGGUGCAUUAGCUAGUUGGUAGGGUAAAGGCCUACCAAGGCGAUGAUGCAUAGCCGACCUGAGAGGGUGAUCGGCCACAUUGGGACUGAGACACGGCCCAAACUCCUACGGGGGGCAGCAGUAGGGAAUCUUCCGCAAUGGACGCAAGUCUGACGGAGCAACGCCGCGUGAGUGAAGAAGGUCUUCGGAUCGUAAAGCUCUGUUGUUAGAGAAGAACAGCGCAUAGAGUAACUGUUAUGCGUGUGACGGUAUCUAACCAGAAAGCCACGGCUAACUACGUG